CGGAUUAGCGAGCCGAGCGGACCAAAACGACGGGGACGCCAAGGAGAACAACUUUCCUCAAAGCGGGCCGAGCAUCCGGGCUCGGGAAGACGGCCAAAACGGGCCAAAACCCCGCUGCAAUACCCAUUUUUGCAGCUACUGAGCAAGCUCGGAGGAGGGCUGAUCCGGCGUCGGUUGGGGCGAGCAAGGGCGGCAAGGACUAGGCGGAGC
RNAcentral lists this long non-coding RNA (210 nucleotides) under Eucalyptus grandis. RNAcentral's name for it is "long non-coding RNA (EGRA_LNC004126)". The record is from RNAcentral. Lineage: Eukaryota; Viridiplantae; Streptophyta; Magnoliopsida; Myrtales; Myrtaceae.